Molecule: ribosomal RNA, 455 nt
Filed under: Nerocila exocoeti
Lineage: Eukaryota; Metazoa; Arthropoda; Malacostraca; Isopoda; Cymothoidae
Description: partial 16S ribosomal RNA
Rfam family: Bacterial large subunit ribosomal RNA
Source: RNAcentral
UUCUUUUUAUUAUGUAAUGGAAGGUACCCCCUGCCCUAUGGUUUUAAAUGGCCGCGGUGUCAGAAGCUGUGCGAAGGUAGCAUAAUAAUUUUCUUUUUAAAUGGAAGAUAGAAUGAAAGGGGUGACUAGAUAUCUGCUGUGUGAAGUGGGGUUUUAGAAUUUUAUGAGAGGGUUAAAAAUCCUUCUAAUUUUAAAGGGACGAUAAGACCCUGGGAGCUUUAAAAUGGGUGAUUUUUUAACUGGGGCGGUUUGUAAUAAAAACAUUAAAUUUAGAACAAUUUGAAUGGAGUUAAUGAUCUUUUUUUGAGCAUGAAGUUGAAAGCUACCCCAGGGAUAACAGCGUAAUUGAAUUGGGGAGGCGAUCUAAGAUUCAGUUUGCGACCUCGAUGUUGAAUUAAGGUUUUCCUCAUGAGGGAGAUAGCUUGGGGGAGAGUUUGUUCAACUCUUAAAAACUU